CCUACGGGGGGCAGCAGUGGGGAAUAUUGGACAAUGGGCGAAAGCCUGAUCCAGCCACGCCGCGUGUGUGAAGAAGGCCUUCGGGUUGUAAAGCACUUUCAGUGGGGAAGAAAGCCUUGGGGCUAAUACCCUCGAGGAAGGACAUCACCCACAGAAGAAGCACCGGCUAACUCCGUGCCAGCAGCCGCGGUAAUACGGAGGGUGCGAGCGUUAAUCGGAAUUACUGGGCGUAAAGCGCGCGUAGGCGGUCUGAUAAGCCGGUUGUGAAAGCCCCGGGCUCAACCUGGGAACGGCAUCCGGAACUGUCAGGCUAGAGUGCAGGAGAGGAAGGUAGAAUUCCCGGUGUAGCGGUGAAAUGCGUAGAGAUCGGGAGGAAUACCAGUGGCGAAGGCGGCCUUCUGGACUGACACUGACGCUGAGGUGCGAAAGCGUGGGUAGCAAACAGGAUUAGAUACCCUGGUAGUC
Molecule: ribosomal RNA, 465 nt
Filed under: Vreelandella stevensii
Lineage: Bacteria; Pseudomonadati; Pseudomonadota; Gammaproteobacteria; Oceanospirillales; Halomonadaceae
Description: partial 16S ribosomal RNA
Rfam family: Bacterial small subunit ribosomal RNA
Source: RNAcentral